This is a small nucleolar RNA of Suncus etruscus (white-toothed pygmy shrew), 136 nucleotides long. RefSeq annotates it as small nucleolar RNA SNORA58. NCBI's taxonomy places the organism in Eukaryota, Metazoa, Chordata, Mammalia, Eulipotyphla, Soricidae. The record is from RefSeq and is a predicted model, not a curated record. The transcript has a single exon.
UAGCAUACUUGUAGACCUUGCCUGACUCUGCUCGUGGACAGGCAGGGGGGACAGUGUAUGCAAGAGUAAUUUGGAGUUAAUAUCAGCUUUAUUCAGCUUAAUCAGUGGCUGGAUAUGCUGCAGUAUUCAUACAUCC